GUUUCUAUAGUUGAAUAACAACAAUGAUUUUUCAUAUCAUAAGUCAUAGUUUAAUGCUAUGUAGGAAUG
Molecule: transfer RNA, 69 nt
Filed under: Lemmiscus curtatus (Sagebrush vole)
Lineage: Eukaryota; Metazoa; Chordata; Mammalia; Rodentia; Cricetidae
Description: tRNA-Glu
Source: RNAcentral